CCCUGCUCUCCAGCUCUCGGGGUCCAGCCUGAAUCUGGCCGCCGGCAGACAAUACAGGAAGUAGAAGACAAGGCUCAGAAUAAUGGCCCUGCCAGGGACUGAAAUUGGGCAGUGCAGGAAGCUAGAGAUGAAGCCAAGUUAAGCAACAUACAGUCUCAUGAUGCCUAUUUCAACAGAAUUCAUUUCUGAUGGAAAAUGGAGAAUAACAGAAGAGAGUAAUUUCAGACGCUAUGUCACAGACAGAAAAAUGAUGACAUACCAACUACAGGAAUCUGCUCAGCCAUAUAGAAGGCAUCAGCAACUCUGCUCAAUAAUGCAUGCUUCUGAACACAGCAGUUCUGCUCUGGACCCUGAAAACUCUGAUUUGAUCCUAUCUUUGGGGAAGCAGUGUGAAGAAGAAUGCAGCCUUGCCAGUGGCUGGCAACCAUGAGGUAAUAAUGAAGAAUGUAUGGAGUUACUGCAAGUCUGACAAACUGCUGAGUUACAAAAACAAAGGAUGAGCUGCUUAAUUCUAGAUGACCUCUUCAGAAACAACAACAUCUUAAAGAUGAAAUUUAUUAUUACUUGGAAUCCUGCUAAUUACACCUGAAAAUAUGUUAAAUGCUAAACACCUCUUAAGUUAUUUUCUUUUCGGAGUGUUUAGAAAUAUGACUCCAAUAACCUUCUCUGGAGCUGUUUAUUUCUGCCAUGUACCAGUCUUGGCAUAUAUCACUAGCAUCAUCUCACUUAAUCCUCACAGCAACCCUUUGAAGUAAACCAGAAAUCUGAGCAGUGAAGUCAUUUGUCCGAAGUAGUUAAGCUGGUACUCAGCAAGUGGAUCAGGACACAGGUCUCUCAACCUAACCAUAUUUCACCCACUUAUCCCCAAAUAACACGAUGAAGGCAAAAUUCUCCACUUUCUAUUUUUUGAGCCUACAAUUUCUCAAGUUCAUUAAAAGAAAUUUUUUUCCCUAAUUGUCUAGACAUUCGCUGGAAGGAUGGAGCUCAGGGUAGCUGUCCAUCAUGGAUGAUUAUUCUACUAUGCAGGAAGAGAAGGUGCAUUAAUGUCCUUUGCUGUGUUCUUUUAACCUAACAGUAAUUAUAGAGUCAACUUACCUUAAAACUGCAAAGAACAAAAGGCAGCACUGGUUUUACUAGUAAGAAGUGGAAUGCCAGUAUUAGAGUGAAUCCCAAGCUUUUUGAGACUAUAUAAUAGGUACUUUUCCUACCACCACUGAAUAAAAAUGAGAACGUAUUCAUUAUAUUUAAAAUAUACUAUUUUCUUAAAUAUAAAAGUAACACUCUCAUUGUAAAAAAUCUAGAAAAGUACACAGAAGAAAAUAGAAAUCACCUACAACUUAGCAGAGAUAAUCAUUGCUGAGAUUUAGGUUUGGCCCUCUUUCACUUGCCCCAUUUUUCCUAGACAUAAAUAUUUUAUCUGGAUGUUUUGUUCUUUCAUUUUCCAUUUCUUCAAAAUGUCCCCCAUGACACACAUUAAAAAUUCUUUAAAAACA
Long non-coding RNA from Onychomys torridus (southern grasshopper mouse), 1493 nucleotides. RefSeq lists it as uncharacterized. The transcript has 4 exons. The record is from RefSeq and is a predicted model, not a curated record. Lineage: Eukaryota; Metazoa; Chordata; Mammalia; Rodentia; Cricetidae.